RNAcentral lists this ribosomal RNA (829 nucleotides) under uncultured phototrophic eukaryote. RNAcentral describes it as "bacterial SSU rRNA". It matches the Rfam family "Bacterial small subunit ribosomal RNA", at positions 28 to 896 of the family's 1533-position model. The record is from RNAcentral.
GAUGAACGCUGGCGGUAUGCCUAACACAUGCAAGUCGUACGAGAGUUUUUAACUCAAGUGGCGGACGGGUGAGUAACACGUGAGAAUUCGCCUUUAGGAGGGGGACAACAACUGGAAACGGUUGCUAAUACCCCAUAUGCUUUCGAGUGAAAUGAAUUUAUUCGCCUAAAGAGAAGCUCGCGGCUGAUUAGCUUGUUGGUAGGGUAAGAGCCUACCAAGGCGACGAUCAGUAUCUGGUUUGAGAGGACGACCAGACACACUGGAACUGAGACACGGUCCAGACUCCUACGGGAGGCAGCAGUGGGGAAUUUUCCGCAAUGGGCGAAAGCCUGACGGAGCAAUACCGCGUGAGGGAAGACGGCCUAUGGGUUGUAAACCUCUUUUUUCAGGGAGGAAUAACUGACGUGUACCUGAAGAAUAAGCAUCGGCUAACUCCGUGCCAGCAGCCGCGGUAAGACGGAGGAUGCAAGUGUUAUCCGGAAUCACUGGGCGUAAAGCGUCUGUAGGUGGUUAAACAAGUCAACUGUUAAAUCUUGAGGCUCAACUUCAAAAUCGCAGUCGAAACUGUUUGACUAGAGUAUAGUAGGGGUAAAGGGAAUUUCCAGUGGAGCGGUGAAAUGCGUAGAUAUUGGAAAGAACACCGAUGGCGAAGGCACUUUACUGGGCUAUUACUGACACUCAGAGACGAAAGCUAGGGUAGCAAAUGGGAUUAGAUACCCCAGUAGUCCUAGCCGUAAACAAUGGAUACUAGAUGUUGAACAGAUCGACCUGUGCAGUAUCAAAGCUAACGCGUUAAGUAUCCCGCCUGGGAAGUAUGCUCGCAAGAGUG